UUUUGAGUUGCCUUUUUAUUUUCUCCCCCCCGGAGCUCUCAAGGUAGGCGCGCACCUUGCUGGCCGGCUCUGGAGGCGAGGAGGAAGUGCCUUUUGGUAGUCUGUUGCCUUUUGCUGUAAUGCCAGAUCCAGGUCUUCAGAGCUCCUGGGGCCAGUGAAGGAGAAAGGGCAGUCUGAAGUGUGACAGCAUUCAACAGAACCUCAUCAAAUGCUUUUAGAGACCUUUACUAAGAACUGUUGUUGUACGUGAAAAUUGAAUAUUACCUGCUGCAAAACUUCACUGUUGUUUGAAACUUGGCCUUCCCAUUCCCCUCAUCUUCAUUUAAUAAUGAAAACGAAGUGUUAAAUUUAAAUACUGCUACCUUUUAUGAUUUUACAAGAUGAAUGUAUACCACAACAAGCUACUAAUUAUCUCCUGGUUAUAAGCAAAGAGAAAACAAGAAGUAAAGGAAAAAGAAGGACCUCUGAGUUGAAAUAUGCCAGAUGGAUGUAGAACAGGUUUAUGUGGGUUUUCUGCUAGAAUAUGAGUUCUGGUUUUUGUCUUAAGUCACUGUUAAAAAAAA
RNAcentral lists this long non-coding RNA (563 nucleotides) under Calidris pugnax (ruff). RNAcentral's name for it is "lncRNA (ENSCPUG00000010877.1)". Lineage: Eukaryota; Metazoa; Chordata; Aves; Charadriiformes; Scolopacidae. The record is from RNAcentral.